GUGGGGAAUAUUGGGCAAUGGGCGCAAGCCUGACCCAGCAACGCCGCGUGAAGGAAGAAGGCUUUCGGGUUGUAAACUUCUUUUGUCAGGGACGAAGCAAGUGACGGUACCUGACGAAUAAGCCACGGCUAACUACGUUCCUGCAGCCGCGGUAAUACGUAGGUGGCAAGCGUUAUCCGGAUUUACUGGGUGUAAAGGGCGUGUAGGCGGGAUUGCAAGUCAGAUGUGAAAACCAUGGGCUCAACCUGUGGCCUGCAUUUGAAACUGUAGUUCUUGAGUACUGGAGAGGCAGACGGAAUUCCUAGUGUAGCGGUGAAAUGCGUAGAUAUUAGGAGGAACACCAGUGGCGAAGGCGGUCUGCUGGACAGCAACUGACGCUGAGGCGCGAAAGCGUGGGGAGCAAACAGG
RNAcentral lists this ribosomal RNA (408 nucleotides) under uncultured bacterium. RNAcentral's name for it is "bacterial SSU rRNA". It matches the Rfam family "Bacterial small subunit ribosomal RNA", at positions 354 to 776 of the family's 1533-position model. The record is from RNAcentral.